RNAcentral lists this unclassified non-coding RNA (1683 nucleotides) under Pomacea canaliculata. RNAcentral's name for it is "regulator of G-protein signaling 3-like, transcript variant X1". The record is from RNAcentral. Lineage: Eukaryota; Metazoa; Mollusca; Gastropoda; Architaenioglossa; Ampullariidae.
CAUAGGCUAUACUUCCGGUUUCGAGUUGUCGUUCAUUCGUUCACGUGCACAAUAUAAGGAUUGUUUAUAUUUCUUAGAGAAGAAAAAUUCGUUCCGAGUGCCAUACCUCGUCAUAGACACCCGCUAUAAAGUUAUCAUUGCACUAUUGUUCUUUCUGUUGUAUUUGAAACUUGUAUUUAGUUUUGGUAUUCAUGUGUAGGUACAAUGUUUUUCAAGACCAAAAUAAGAAGUCGUCCCAAGGUUGUAACAAAGAUGAUGAACCCCUUGACAGGGCGAUGGGUAACCGUUAAAGAGAAUAAGCGAAAGAAAAAAGACACAGUUUCUGCUGUUCCCUCCCAGCAACCGAUCCCGACGCGACAGGUACCAGUCACAGUUUCUGCUGCUCCCUCCCAGCAACCGAUCCCGAGGCAACAGGUACCAGUCACAGUUUCUGCUGCUCCCUUCCAGCAACCGAUCCCGAGGCAACAGGUACCAGUCACAGUUUCUGCUGCUCCCUCACAGCAACCGAUCCCGACGCGACAUGUACCAGACACAGUUUCUGCUGCUUCCUCCCAGCAACCGAUCCCGACAACACCAUACAUCGAUGCAGAAGAUGUCAGGGCCGUACAGUAAAGAAGAAUUCUGCAAAGCAACACCAGGAAUCUGGGGUUGAAAAGCAAAGAACAGGAUUCAGAACUCCGUGGACAGCAGCAGAAGUACUCGUUGUCCAGCAACACUUCAGUCAGGAGUUGUCUGGGCUGAAGCCAGUGACACGCAGCAGCAUUGAGAGUUUUUUGACCCAACAAACAGUGGUCAAAAGGACUUGUACUGCAGUGGGAAAUUAUCUGUUAAGGAACAGGAAGAAAAAACAGACCUAAUGAUCAGUAAUGAAUCAAAGCACCUUAUUACCAACACUGAUGACACUUGAGAUGUUGGAUUAAGUCUGAUGAACGGCACUGUGUACUUUCAAGACAUUUUCACUGCCAUGUGUCAUCUGUUUCACAGAGCUGACUGAUAGGUGGGUUCUUUCUGGGUACUCCAACUUCUUUAUCACCAACCACCUGUGUGAUAAUGUUCCAUUAUACAGCCCACCAAACUCAAGACAUUCAAAAAUUGCAAUUUUUCCUUUUUAAUAGCUGUCAGUUACAUUGAGCUAAAUGUAUUCUUCAUUAUGUUUAUGUCUUUGGAGAAGUAAACCAUUUGCCCAGUGAUGUGGUUUGAGCUUAAUACAGAAAAAGGACAUGUUGCAUGAUUAUAUUAAAUGUGUAACAGGAAAAAUGUGACACACUUGCUUUGUAGCGAAUAUGUUGCUAUCCAUGUGAAUUUGACAUGGUAGGGGUUUUUGGGUUGUGUGGCUGUUACGUAGGUUCAGAUGCUAUGAACUGACUAUUUGAUCUACACUGUUAAUGUUGCUAUUGUGGUUAUGUAGUAACUGAAUAUAUAAAAAUGCAAAGAAGUUAUAAAUGUGGAAGAUUAUAAGUUUUUUUAAUUGGUCUGUAUGAUUAAAUUCUUUGCUGGCAUGUGUUUGUGCAACAGCUUCUCCAGAUUUCAUCAUAAAUGAAAAAAAAUUAUUGUCAUUUUGGUGAUUUUUGGUAUGAUGAAAAAUUGUUUCAAGUAUUGGUUUAUAGCUUGCCUUUCCAACUUGAGAAUGAGGGAGGACCAAUUUCAUGCCUUGUCAAAUAAAACUGAGUAUACUGUAUCAUA